Molecule: long non-coding RNA, 1041 nt
Filed under: Lynx pardinus (Iberian lynx)
Lineage: Eukaryota; Metazoa; Chordata; Mammalia; Carnivora; Felidae
Source: RNAcentral
AGACUGCGGUCAUACAGCCUGGCAGACGAACCAGAAACAUGACGUCACCUGGUGUCCCGGAGGCCUCCCUGACUCCAGCUCCCACGCCCCACACCCCAAGUGGCCCCCCUUACACCCAUGCCCAGUCUCACUUGAGCUUCACAUCUGAGGGCAGCAGCGGAACCCCACGGGAGGCCACAGGAAAGAGCAUGGGCCACAGCAGCCAGCGCCCCGUCAGCUCCAGGGCACGGUGUUGCACCCGCAGGGGCUGGCGGUUGAAGGUGAAGUUCACCUUGAAGGUCAGCCCAUCCACAAAGCGGCUCAGGAGGCUUUAGGAAGGGAGGAGGAAGGAAAAGCUCCAGUAAGAGGGCAAGGACUCUUUGCAUCUACUCUGGCUCCACUCUCUUUUCAAGACAGCCAUGCAAUCCCUCCAGGAGAAGCUACUGAGGCAUCUCAGGGUCCCCCUGAAGAAAAGCUUCCUGCUCAAUCCCUGGGGUCCCACUGGUCUCAGGGAGAAACAAAUCAGCUCCUCUGGCCUAAGAAACAUUUGUAGACCCUUCUAGCAGCUCAUGGUUCCCCCAACACCCACCUCAUGGAAAAGCUCAGCUUGACACGGUCCAAUUCCACCUUGUGUACAAAGCCCUUGUAGGUGACGGGGUCCUCCUGAUGUGUCUCAGAGGACAAAAGUGCAAACAGGUGGUCACCCCGUAGCACUGAGGGGCGGCUCUCGGUCACUCCGGGAACCUACGGGGGGUGGACACAAGCAAGCUUCUAUCCCCAGGGAUGGCUACUGGAGGACCCCUAGGUCUCCAGACCGCCUGUGAGGGACAAGGAUUGAGCGUUGUCCUUCUAUCCCAAGACCCAGGGAGCUUUGCUUCUUUCCUCUCCCGCCUGACAGGGCAAAAGUCGGGAUGAGCAAGGAGAGUCUGCCCGAGGUGCACAGAGAUAGCUGAGCCCAGCAGUCCUGGAAACUCUCCAGGACACGAUUCUCAGCCCAUCCGUGUGCCCUCUUGGCCAGCUCAGUUCCCGCUCUGCCCUUGAAUCCUUGUUCAAAACUCAGUU